RNAcentral lists this ribosomal RNA (371 nucleotides) under uncultured bacterium. RNAcentral's name for it is "bacterial SSU rRNA". It matches the Rfam family "Bacterial small subunit ribosomal RNA", at positions 28 to 399 of the family's 1533-position model. The record is from RNAcentral.
GACGAACGCUGGCGGCGUGCUUAACACAUGCAAGUCGAGCGGUAAGGCCCUUUCGGGGGGUACACGAGCGGCGAACGGGUGAGUAACACGUGGGUGACCUGCCCUCAGCUCUGGGAUAAGCCUGGGAAACCGGGUCUAAUACUGGAUAUGACUCCAUGACGCAUGUUGUGGGGUGGAAAGCCUUGUGCGGCUGAGGAUGGGCCCGCGGCCUAUCAGCUUGUUGGUGGGGUGANGGCCUACCAAGGCGACGACGGGUAGCCGGCCUGAGAGGGCGACCGGCCACACUGGGACUGAGACACGGCCCAGACUCCUACGGGAGGCAGCAGUGGGGAAUCUUGCGCAAUGGGCGAAAGCCUGACGCAGCGACGCCG